ACUACGGGUGGCAGCAGUGAGGAAUAUUGGACAAUGGGCGGGAGCCUGAACCAGCCAAGCCGCGUGAGGGAAGAAGGUACAGCGUAUCGUAAACCUCUUUUGUCAGGGAACAAAGGCGGGGACUAGUCCCCGGAUGAGGGUACCUGAAGAAAAAGCAUCGGCUAACUCCGUGCCAGCAGCCGCGGUAAUACGGAGGAUGCGGGGGUUAUCCGGAUUUAUGGGGUUGAAAGGGUGCGCAGGCGGCCUGUUAGGUCAGAGGUAAAAGCCCGGGGCUCAACCCCGGCGAGCCGUUGAAACUGGCGGGCUGGAGUUGGAGAGAAGUACGCGGAAUGCGCGGUGUAGCGGUGAAAUGCUUAGAUAUCGCGCAGAACCCCGAUUGCGAAGGCAGCGUACCGGCUCCACACUGACGCUGAGGCACGAAAGCGUGGGUAUCGAACAGGAUUAGAUACCCGAGUAGUC
This 459-nucleotide ribosomal RNA is filed under the name uncultured bacterium. Its description in RNAcentral is "partial 16S ribosomal RNA". It matches the Rfam family "Bacterial small subunit ribosomal RNA", at positions 338 to 795 of the family's 1533-position model. The record is from RNAcentral.